UCUCUUGUCUGACUAGUUUCCAGUAUGGUCCGGUGUCUGCUCCCCGAAUCACCCCCAACCCCAACUCCUCAACGCAACUGGAAUACAAUGAAGAGCUUUGGGAAGUAAUUAGGUCACAAGGGCUCCAUUCUCCUGGAUUCCACUGGUGCCCUUAUCCAAGAAGGCUAGGCUGAGAGCCCUCCUGUCUUUCCACAGUGUGAGUGAGGACACAGAGGGUGCUGCCUUCCGAUGCACAGGUGGGCGGGCCCUCACCAGACACUGAAUCCGCCAGUCCCAUAACCGUGAGCAGCACGUCUCUCUGCGUAUAAAUUACCGGAUCUAAGGGUCUGGACCCCAGGGACAUAGGACAGGGAUCUGAGCCUACAUCAAGGUUGAACAUUGAAGGUCCUGGCAAAGAGUGAGAGCUGGGUACCCACAGAGAGACUUGGGGCCAGGCUGCUGCAGUCAACACAGGAGGCCAGCUGCGAUGGCAAUAAAACAGUGAACAGUAACUACGACAGAGGGUGGUACUGGCCCGGGCCAUGACGUUUUGUGAAAGAACGUGGAAGGACUUUGCAGCUCAUCCUAGGAAGCAGCUUGCAGGGCAGUGAUGCUGAGAGCCAUGGGAACUACGGAAGUCCUCAGAGUGGAACAUUAGCAACUGUGGCUGCCGUUUGCCUGUUUGCCCUCACUCUUGCUGGCAAGUGCAUCUCUC
Long non-coding RNA from Mastomys coucha (southern multimammate mouse), 694 nucleotides. RefSeq lists it as uncharacterized. NCBI's taxonomy places the organism in Eukaryota, Metazoa, Chordata, Mammalia, Rodentia, Muridae. The record is from RefSeq and is a predicted model, not a curated record. The transcript is spliced from 3 exons.